AACCACAUAGUUCCGGGUUCAGUCCCACUGCGAAGGCACAUGGCCUAGUGGUUAGAGCAGCGGAUUCGUGGUCGAGGGAUCGCGGGUUCGAAUCUCAGACAGGGCGAUGUGUGUGUUUAUAAGCGAAUCACCUAAGCUCCAAGCGGCCCCGGCUGAAGGUUAUGGCGAACGUCUGCUGAUUCUUUUGCCACAACUUUCUCUCACUCUUUCCUCCUGCAUCUUGCAGCUCACUGCGACGGACCGUCGUCCCGUCCAGGUGGGGAACCUGUGCGCCAAGGAAACCGGGAAACCG
Long non-coding RNA from Octopus sinensis (East Asian common octopus), 292 nucleotides. RefSeq lists it as uncharacterized. The record is from RefSeq and is a predicted model, not a curated record. Lineage: Eukaryota; Metazoa; Mollusca; Cephalopoda; Octopoda; Octopodidae. The transcript has 3 exons.